Long non-coding RNA from Scleropages formosus (Asian bonytongue), 244 nucleotides. RefSeq lists it as uncharacterized. NCBI's taxonomy places the organism in Eukaryota, Metazoa, Chordata, Actinopteri, Osteoglossiformes, Osteoglossidae. The record is from RefSeq and is a predicted model, not a curated record. The transcript has 3 exons.
CACCAACUGACGGGAGUAAAACAAUUCAGUGCCUUCCAGAUUUCUACUAGAGAACUCACAAUCAUAGCCUAUACAGGUACUUACUGCUAAAUUACUUCAGCAAGGAUACCCUGCUGUAUAAAUGGGAAGUACCACAAAAAGUACUCCAAGCUUGGUGAGAACCACAACUUGCUUAAGGGGUUCCAUAGUGUCAAGACCUCCUGACCUCCUCACUGGUUGCAGAAGCCCCAGGCCACGUACCUCC